CACGUAGGGACCAAGCGUUGUCCGGAUUUAUUGGGCGUAAAGAGCUCGUAGGCGGUUCGGUAAGUCGGGUGUGAAAACUCUGGGCUCAACUCAGAGAUGCCACCCGAUACUGCCGUGACUUGAGUCCGGUAGGGGAGCACGGAAUUCCUGGUGUAGCGGUGAAAUGCGCAGAUAUCAGGAGGAACACCGGUGGCGAAGGCGGUGCUCUGGGCCGGUACUGACGCUGAGGAGCGAAAGCGUGGGUAGCAAACAGG
This 254-nucleotide ribosomal RNA is filed under the name uncultured bacterium. RNAcentral's name for it is "partial 16S ribosomal RNA". It matches the Rfam family "Bacterial small subunit ribosomal RNA", at positions 524 to 776 of the family's 1533-position model. The record is from RNAcentral.